RNAcentral lists this ribosomal RNA (229 nucleotides) under uncultured bacterium. RNAcentral's name for it is "partial 16S ribosomal RNA". It matches the Rfam family "Bacterial small subunit ribosomal RNA", at positions 568 to 796 of the family's 1533-position model. The record is from RNAcentral.
UCCGUAGGCGGGCUAAUAAGUCAGGGGUGAAAUCCCACAGCUUAACUGUGGAACUGCCUUUGAUACUGUUAGUCUUGAGUUAUAUGGAAGUAGAUAGAAUGUGUAGUGUAGCGGUGAAAUGCAUAGAUAUUACACAGAAUACCGAUUGCGAAGGCAGUCUGCUACGUAUAUACUGACGCUAAUGGACGAAAGCGUGGGGAGCGAACAGGAUUAGAUACCCUGGUAGUCC